GGAAUAUUGCGCAAUGGGGGAAACCCUGACGCAGCGACGCCGCGUGGGCGAUGAAGGCCUUCGGGUCGUAAAGCCCUGUCGAGUGGGCAGAACGGCGUGAGCUCUAACAUAGCUCGCGUUUGACGGUACCACUGGAGGAAGCCCCGGCCAACGCCGCGCAAGCAGCCGCGGUAAUACGGAGGGGGCGCGCGUUAUUCGGAAUUAUUGGGCGUAAAGCGCGUGUAGGCGGCUUCGCAAGUCCUUAUGUGAAAGCCCUCGGCUCAACCGAGGAAUCGCAUGGGAAACUGCGUGGCUUGAGUCCGGGAGAGGAGAGCGGAAUUCCCAGUGUAGCGGUGAAAUGCGUAGAUAUUGGGAGGAACACCGGUGGCGAAGGCGGCUCUCUGGACCGGUUACUGACGCUGAGACGCGAAAGCCAGGGGAGCAAAC
RNAcentral lists this ribosomal RNA (426 nucleotides) under uncultured bacterium. RNAcentral's name for it is "bacterial SSU rRNA". It matches the Rfam family "Bacterial small subunit ribosomal RNA", at positions 358 to 773 of the family's 1533-position model. The record is from RNAcentral.